Molecule: ribosomal RNA, 449 nt
Filed under: uncultured bacterium
Lineage: Bacteria
Description: partial 16S ribosomal RNA
Rfam family: Bacterial small subunit ribosomal RNA
Source: RNAcentral
AACGAACGCUGGCGGCAUGCCUAACACAUGCAAGUCGAACGAGAUCUUCGGGUCUAGUGGCGCACGGGUGCGUAACGCGUGGGAAACUGCCCUUUGGUUCGGAAUAACAGUUGGAAACGACUGCUAAUACCGGAUGAUGACGAAAGUCCAAAGAUUUAUCGCCAGAGGAUGAGCCCGCGUAGGAUUAGCUAGUUGGUGUGGUAAAGGCGCACCAAGGCGACGAUCCUUAGCUGGUCUGAGAGGAUGACCAGCCACACUGGGACUGAGACACGGCCGAGACUCCUACGGGAGGCAGCAGUGGGGAAUAUUGGACAAUGGGCGAAAGCCUGAUCCAGCAAUGCCGCGUGAGUGAUGAAGGCCUUAGGGUUGUAAAGCUCUUUUACCCGGGAUGAUAAUGACAGUACCGGGAGAAUAAGCUCCGGCUAACUCCGUGCCAGCAGCCGCCGUAA